Molecule: ribosomal RNA, 440 nt
Filed under: uncultured bacterium
Lineage: Bacteria
Description: partial 16S ribosomal RNA
Rfam family: Bacterial small subunit ribosomal RNA
Source: RNAcentral
CCUACGGGUGGCAGCAGUGGGGAAUAUUGCACAAUGGGGAAACCCUGAUGCAGCAACGCCGCGUGGGUGAAGGAGCGUUUCGGCGCGUAAAGCCCUGUCAGCGGGGGAGAAGAAAGACGGUACCCGACCAAGAAGCCCCGGCUAACUACGUGCCAGCAGCCGCGGUAAUACGUAGGGGGCGAGCGUUAUCCGGAGUUACUGGGUGUAACGGGAGCGUUGUCGGAGAGGUAAGCCUGAAGUGGAAACCCGGGGCCAAACCGCGGAACUGCUUUGGGAACUGUUUUGCUGGAGGAUGGGAGGGGUAAGCGGAAUUCCUGGUGUAGCGGUGAAAUGCGUAGAUAGUAGGAGGAACACCGGUGGCGAAGGCGGCUUACUGGACCAUAACUGACGUUGAGGCUCGAAAGCGUGGGGAGCGAACAGGAUUAGAUACCCGAGUAGUC